Molecule: ribosomal RNA, 249 nt
Filed under: Acanthinucella punctulata
Lineage: Eukaryota; Metazoa; Mollusca; Gastropoda; Neogastropoda; Muricidae
Description: partial 12S ribosomal RNA
Source: RNAcentral
UUGGCGGUGUUUUAAACCUCUCAGGGGAAACCUGUCUCAUAAUCGACAAUCCACGCUAUACCUGACCUUACUUUGCUUCUUCAGUUUGUAUACCGUCGUCGUCAGGUAACUUUUAAAAAUUUAGAAGUUAGCAAAAAAGCUAAUUAAGCUUAUACGUCAGAUCAAGGUGCAGCUUAUAUUAGGGCGAGGAUGGGUUACAAUUAUACACUCAUAAUUACGAAAUAAUUAUAAUAAUAUAUAAUUAAUUAU